GUAGAUAUAGUUUAACAAAAACGUUAGAUUGUGAUUCUGAAAAUGAAGGUUAAAGCCCUCCUGUCCACC
Molecule: transfer RNA, 69 nt
Filed under: Menticirrhus littoralis (Gulf kingcroaker)
Lineage: Eukaryota; Metazoa; Chordata; Actinopteri; Sciaenidae
Description: tRNA-His
Rfam family: tRNA
About the family: Transfer RNA (tRNA) molecules are approximately 80 nucleotides in length. Their secondary structure includes four short double-helical elements and three loops (D, anti-codon, and T loops).
Source: RNAcentral